This 430-nucleotide ribosomal RNA is filed under the name uncultured bacterium. RNAcentral's name for it is "bacterial SSU rRNA". It matches the Rfam family "Bacterial small subunit ribosomal RNA", at positions 917 to 1350 of the family's 1533-position model. The record is from RNAcentral.
GGGCCCGCACAAGCGGCGGAGCAUGCGGAUUAAUUCGAUGCAACGCGAAGAACCUUACCUGGGUUUGACAUACACCGGAAAGCUGCAGAGAUGUAGCCCCUUUUUGUCGGUGUACAGGUGGUGCAUGGCUGUCGUCAGCUCGUGUCGUGAGAUGUUGGGUUAAGUCCCGCAACGAGCGCAACCCUCGUCCUAUGUUGCCAGCACGUGAUGGUGGGGACUCAUAGGAGACUGCCGGGGUCAACUCGGAGGAAGGUGGGGAUGACGUCAAGUCAUCAUGCCCCUUAUGUCCAGGGCUUCACGCAUGCUACAAUGGCCGGUACAAAGGGCUGCGAUCCCGUGAGGGGGAGCGAAUCCCAAAAAGCCGGUCUCAGUUCGGAUUGGGGUCUGCAACUCGACCCCAUGAAGUCGGAGUCGCUAGUAAUCGCAGAUC